UGUGGGGUCGCACAGAGUUGGACACGACUGAAGUGACUUAGCUUAGCUUAUUCUUCCAGAAUAAGUGUUCAGCCAUGACCUAUGUUUUGUUUCAGGUUUUUCUGCUGAAAUGUGGAUUGGCAGGGAAGAAGCUUCCAUGCCUUUUACUCCAUGCGCACAGACUAGCGAAGGAAACUUAGUUGAGGAUAUAGACCAGGCGCAGCCUAGCUCUUAGGCAGCUUUUCUUGGCCUCCAGUUCCUUGAUAAAGGUGAUGAGCCACACCUAAUCAGGUGUGUGGCUCGGGGCCUACUAAACGGUCAGUGUUUGCCUUAAAGUGUUGUAUAGCUGAGGCUUAUCACCAUUCUGGUUGAUUUAGAGAAACAAUCUUUGCCUUUCCAUUUAGGGAAAUAUUCAUACAGAAAGUACACUUGAACAAAACUCAUGUAGUCACAACUUUAUCAUGUGGGAAAAGACAAAGAGUGAGUACUACAGAAGAGAUGUGCGAUAUUGUUUCUUGGAUCAAAUUGUUUUUAGAGUCAUUUAGAUUAAAUGGUUUUAAAUUAGAAUUGGAUUGUUGGUUUCAUAGAAAUAGACCUUUAGAAAUGUUGAGACAGAUUACUUAGAUCUUACUUUGCUUUCUUUCCCUGAUGAGGAUAUAGACAGUGAAGUCUGAACACAUUUUUUUUUUGGCCUUGAUGUGUGGCAUGUGAAAUUCUAGUUUCCUGACCAGGGAUUGAAUCCAUGUCUCAUGUAUUAGGAGCUCCAAAUCAUAACCACUGGACUACCAGGGAAAUCCCUUAACACAUUUUUUAAAACAUGAUCACUAAAAUAGGAAAAUUGCUAACAAAAGUUUUCACGUUUGUGUAUGUGUAUUAAAUAAACCACAUGCUAAGUCCCCCUACUAAAGAACUUCGUGAUAAAAUUGGACUUGGUAGUGUUUAGUAAAAUAAAAGUUCAGCUAUGAUAUUUCCAAAUUGCAUGUUUAAUCUUUGAUUUAUAUAGUUUAAAAGUUUAAUUAUAUAAAUUUCAAACUGUCACAAGUAAUCAAUGUAGUAAGCCAUCAUAUUGCCAGCAUCUAGAUUCAACAGAUACAAGCAGGGCUGACAGUUCUUUUAUCUCAACUCUUUCCCUCUUGCUUCCCCACACUUCUACUGGAUUGUUUUAAAGGAAAUCGCAAAUAUGGCAUCUUUUCAUCAGUAAAUGCUUAUGAAUUCUGUUUUUUUUUAAUGCUUAUGUAUUCUAAGAGAUAAUAACUUGUUAAAAAAACUAACCAUAAUACCACUAUCAUACUGCUUACUGUCUUUAUCCUCCCAAGUUUUAAAAGGCCUGUCAAGGGGCUUCCCUGGCAGCCCAGUGGUUAAGACUCCACACUUCCUCUGCAGGGGACACAGGUUCUAUGCCUGGUUGGGGGAAUAAGACCCCACAUGCUGUUUGGUGCAGCCAAAAAAGU
RNAcentral lists this long non-coding RNA (1430 nucleotides) under Capra hircus (goat). Its description in RNAcentral is "lncRNA (ENSCHIG00010028648.1)". The record is from RNAcentral. Lineage: Eukaryota; Metazoa; Chordata; Mammalia; Artiodactyla; Bovidae.